RNAcentral lists this long non-coding RNA (246 nucleotides) under Setaria italica (foxtail millet). Its description in RNAcentral is "long non-coding RNA (SITA_LNC004648)". The record is from RNAcentral. Lineage: Eukaryota; Viridiplantae; Streptophyta; Magnoliopsida; Poales; Poaceae.
AGGUGGUUUCGACGCAACUAGCUUAGAUGCUAGUAGAUGCAAAGCUCUAACCGUACCAUGGAACAAAUGUAGGACAAUCAGCACAAAGGGCCGGGGGUAAUCUUUGCUAAAGCUCCUUUUUCAGUUUCAAACCAAGAUAUGUGCUGCGGGCUAGUGGCCAAGCUGGUAUUACAUUAUUCUUGAACCGUUAAGAAAAUAUUCUUUGCAUGUGGUUUUAUACGAUUUACAUGGAUACAAAAGAAGUUU